GCGCUAUGGAAUACAUUGACUAGAAGCCAAAAUCUAAAUAAUCAUCAUUUAUUUAUAUGGUACCAGCUUUUAUUUUACCACUGGUUGACUGUACGACAAGGAGCAUUAGCAAAAGUUAAGUGGAAGAAACAGACAGUAGGCUUUAAUAUUCCUUACUGAAAACUUGCAGUCAGAAUAAGUAGCACAUAAUCUCUCCGCACGCACAUUUGUGUCUAAUAUUAUACCCCUCCCUCUUUUUUUGCAAAAUGCUUUGCUUUUUAAAAAAUUAUAACUGCUGGAUAAAAU
Molecule: non-coding RNA, 285 nt
Organism: Pelobates cultripes (western spadefoot toad)
Lineage: Eukaryota; Metazoa; Chordata; Amphibia; Anura; Pelobatidae
Source: the annotation of a GenBank genome assembly